GGAAGGCAGGGCCAACCCAGGGCAGCUCAGGUGUAUUCAAUGCCCUGAGUGACCAGAAGGGCUGGAGCCAGGAUCCACCCCUGCCCAGACCUCAUUUAAGGGUUAGCAGUGGAGGUGAGGGUAUCUCGCUGCUGAUCUCUGCCUCCUUAAUACUUUUUAAAGCAGAAAUGGUAAACCUGGUAGAAGCGGUUCGCACACAACAGCCGAAUCCAUUUGAGAGCAGGCACCACCAUGAAAGGGAACGUCUGAUGGCACAGGGCAUCAGUGGCAGCGUGGGCACUUGUGGGGUCCGAGCUCAAAGCUGCCUCUCCCCCUGCUGUGAAAUGCAGCAUCAGAUGUAUCCCUGCAGCAAUGCAUGCAGCAUCACAGCGCGCUCCCUCUCUUUUCUCAAGGCACCAUUUGGCAGAUCUGCACUGUGAAAGUCACGGCAGUCUUUCAGAAUAACUUCUCCCACCAUCCCAGCAAAUGCAAUGGAACAGGGGGUGCUGGGAGCCAGGCUGCAUGGAGCAUCCCUCCCUCACUGCAAAAACCCCCAAAUGCUCUGUAUCUCCCACACACACCCUGAUCUGUAUCAUGACAACACUGUGUUGGCA
Long non-coding RNA from Tympanuchus pallidicinctus (lesser prairie-chicken), 593 nucleotides. RefSeq lists it as uncharacterized. Lineage: Eukaryota; Metazoa; Chordata; Aves; Galliformes; Phasianidae. The transcript has 2 exons. The record is from RefSeq and is a predicted model, not a curated record.